Molecule: ribosomal RNA, 433 nt
Filed under: uncultured bacterium
Lineage: Bacteria
Description: bacterial SSU rRNA
Rfam family: Bacterial small subunit ribosomal RNA
Source: RNAcentral
AACGAACGCUGGCGGCAGGCCUAACACAUGCAAGUCGAGCGAGACCUUCGGGUCUAGCGGCGGACGGGUUAGUAACGCGUGGGAACGUGCCCUUCUCUACGGAAUAGCCACUGGAAACGGUGAGUAAUACCGCAUACGCCCUUCGGGGGAAAGAUUUAUCGGAGAAGGAUCGGCCCGCGUUAGAUUAGAUAGUUGGUGGGGUAACGGCCUACCAAGUCUACGAUCUAUAGCUGGUUUUAGAGGAUGAUCAGCAGCACUGGGACUGAGACACGGCCCAGACUCCUACGGGAGGCAGCAGUGGGGAAUCUUAGACAAUGGGCGCAAGCCUGAUCUAGCCAUGCCGCGUGUGUGAUGAAGGUCUUAGGAUCGUAAAGCACUUUCGCCAGGGAUGAUAAUGACAGUACCUGGUAAAGAAACCCCGGCUAACUCCGUG